Molecule: ribosomal RNA, 510 nt
Filed under: uncultured Methylophaga sp.
Lineage: Bacteria; Pseudomonadati; Pseudomonadota; Gammaproteobacteria; Thiotrichales; Piscirickettsiaceae
Description: bacterial SSU rRNA
Rfam family: Bacterial small subunit ribosomal RNA
Source: RNAcentral
AUUAAGUUUAUCAGGGAAUUCUGGGGCGUAAGCGCGCGUAGGCGGUUUGUUAGUCAGAUGUGAAAUCCCUUGGCAAGACAUGGGAAUGGCAUUUGAGGCUGGCAGGCUUCUCGUGUGGAAGAGGUGAGUGGAAUUUCAGGUGUAGCGGUGAAAUGCGUAGAGAUCUGAAGGAACAUCAUUGUCGAAGGCGACUCACUGGGCCAUUACUGACGCUGAGGUGCGAAAGCGUGGGUAGCAAACAGGAUUAGAUACCCUGGUAGUCCACGCCCUAAACGAUGUCAACUAGGUGUAUGGAGAAUUUAUUCUUUGUGUAUCGAAGCUAACGCGAUAAGUUGACCGCCUGGGGAGUACGGUCGCAAGACUAAAACUCGAAUGAAUUGACGGGGGCCCGCACAAGCGGUGGAGCAUGUGUUUUAAUUCGAUGCAACGCGAAGAACCUUACCUGGCCUUGACAUGUACGGAAGAUUGAAGAGAUUCUAUUGUGCCUUCGGGAACCGUAACACAGGUGCU